Molecule: long non-coding RNA, 2189 nt
Organism: Equus caballus (horse)
Lineage: Eukaryota; Metazoa; Chordata; Mammalia; Perissodactyla; Equidae
Source: Ensembl
GUAGGAUGAAGGGCAAAGGGGACGGGCGCGGGGAGGCGCUGCCCUCUCCGACCACCCGCCCCCCACCCCACAGCCGGCUGCCAAAGAGCCGUGCCACCUCCCCCUGUGCGUCGCGGGUGAGGGGCUGACUGUGCCCAGCCAAGGCGCUGGGCCUCUGCCAGCGCAAGGGGAGGUCGCGGCCCCGACAGCCAAUAGCUAGGAGCAAGGCGGGGGGGAGGAGCUGCAAAACGGCUGUGUUUGCGCGGCGACGCCCAGCUCCCUGCGGGGAAAGCACAAAACCUCUGGUGCCAGGGCAUCAGGAUGCCCCUCCUUUGGGAACGAAAUGUGUGCUAUGCCAGCCCUCCUCCCUGCCCUCCCGCUGCUCCUGCCACUGAUCUAUUUGUAGCGGCAAGCGCCCAGGAGGACCUACUCGGGGCAGGCAACGCGGCUCCAGCAAAUCCCUGCAUCAGGCAGUCGCUGGAGAACAGGCCGGAGCGGUCCCUUUCGCAGAUGCCUUUUAAACUCACGAUGGUUGGGGCCAUCGUGUGCUGGGUGUCAUGGAUAUAGCAGUGAAGGAAGCUGACGAGCACCUCCCCUUGUGGAGCUUGUGUCCUCAUGAGGACCUUCAGGCUCAAAGAUGUCACCUGAUGUACUCCGGAUCCCAGGCUGUCAAGGACUAAGAGUCCAAACGUAGGGCCUGUCCAGGGCCUCUGCGGGUCACUUGCUUGCCCUUUGCUGAUCCACAAAGCUUCCUGAUGAGAUGGAAUCUGUGCUUCCUGAGUGUUGUCAGCCAGGGCAGUGGCCUCUGAUCUCCUGGAAGCGUGCCUUCAGGUCAGGUGGUGGAAGUUGUCGGGGCGGGGGGAGGCAAAUUGAGAAAGGGAGAGUUCACUGUCGGAAGGACAGAGCCGCUCCGUGGCCCGCAGCAGGACAUCGGUGGGGACCAGCCAUGGUCAUGUGCAUGGCUGCCGUCUUAGUGAUGACAGCAAAACCUCAUGGGUCCAGAUCCAGGAGCACGGUUUUAAGGAUCAGUCUCGGUCCCAGAGCUCCAGAGAGGCAGCUGUGACACAGUGGCAGUGGCAGGAGAGAGGGGCCAUAUUCAAGGGGAGAGAGAGUGGAAAUGGUACAAGACGGACAGAGGGUGAGUGUGGAGCUUCAGGACCCCCGUGACCUGGUGAAGAGAGUCUGGCCGUAAAGCAUGAUGGAUAGACGAAUUCGGUUGAUCGGGGACGUUCCGCUCUGCUGGAGAUGGAGAUCUGACCCAGGAGGGGUCCCACCCGGGACCUGCACUGUUGUGGGUGGGCGAGGUCUGGGGGACUGAGACGGGACCCUGUGUGUUGAUGCCCAAAUGCACAAUAAAGGCAGGUGGAUAUGCACGUCACUGCCUCUGCCUGGGGCAUCCCCGUUUCCCUCCUGAGGUCAACAGAUAGAACCUGGGGUUUGGAGUCGCACAGACCUGGAUUCCAAACCAUGCUCUACCUUCUACUCAUAACACAGCCUUGGCCACACGACUUGCCCAUCUCUAAAAGGGGCAGCAAUGCUUGCCUCCAUAGACUCUGGGGUGAGAAUUAGGAGGCUGCCUGAGGGAAGCGCAGGGUCAGGACCUGAAAGAUGGGUCAGAUUUGAGACUUGGUGAUCACCUACCAGAGGCCUCUACCAAGGAUCACCUCCUCCAGGAAGCCUGCUUGGCAUCCAUCCCACCAGCAAAGCUGCCCUCUUCCCUGGGUCGCAGCUGCCUCCCAUGUGGCUUUUGUCUAGUUCAGCGCUGCCUUUCUGGUGCCUAGUCCUGUCUUGCCACUCGAAAUGGCGGACGUUGAUUGAGCCCUCGAACCUCCCUGACACCCGGCCAGGUGCCUGUGUGUUGCUCCCUCACGUGAUCCUCAGAUCUAGCCUGGUAUCUGCCUUUCAUAGAAGAGUCCUGUCAGCCGUGGAGGCAGCGUGAACUUGAGCCCGAGCAGCCUGCCAGCCCCCAGCCCCCGGCUGCGGCUCCAGGAGAGAGCUCUGUGCCAGCUGGGCCAGCCUCACCCAGUUCUUCAGUCCGGGAGCCUAGCACCGGGCCUGGCACACAGGAGCCUCCGUGAGUGUGCGAGGCUGUUCUGUUGGCACCUGCUGCCUUGGUCAUCACUGACUAGAGGAGGUGGCCCAUGGUGCCCAGCCCCCUGAAGGGACAGACCAUGUCUGACAGAAUGUUCCCAGUCUGCAGCAAAAUGGAG